AGGCUCACCAGGGCCAGGUCUUCUCCUUGUGGUGCUGACCUGUCUCUCCAUGAGCAAGAGUAUCAGGACUGGUUUGGGGGUAUCCCACCUGAGUGGAUGUGGUGACACCACAGUUUUCAGAACAACA
Molecule: non-coding RNA, 127 nt
Organism: Dipodomys ordii (Ord's kangaroo rat)
Lineage: Eukaryota; Metazoa; Chordata; Mammalia; Rodentia; Heteromyidae
Source: Ensembl